Molecule: ribosomal RNA, 468 nt
Filed under: uncultured bacterium
Lineage: Bacteria
Description: partial 16S ribosomal RNA
Rfam family: Bacterial small subunit ribosomal RNA
Source: RNAcentral
GACGAACGCUGGCGGCGUGCUUAACACAUGCAAGUCGAACGGAAAGGCCCUGCUUUUGUGGGGUGCUCGAGUGGCGAACGGGUGAGUAACACGUGAGUAACCUGCCCUUGACUUUGGGAUAACUUCAGGAAACUGGGGCUAAUACCGGAUAGGAGCUCCUGCUGCAUGGUGGGGGUUGGAAAGUUUCGGCGGUUGGGGAUGGACUCGCGGCUUAUCAGCUUGUUGGUGGGGUAGUGGCUUACCAAGGCUUUGACGGGUAGCCGGCCUGAGAGGGUGACCGGCGUCAAUGGGACUGAGAUACGGCCCAGACUCCUACGGGAGGCAGCAGGGGGGAAUAUUGCACAAUGGGCGGAAGCCUGAUGCAGCAACGCCGCGUGCGGGAUGACGGCCUUCGGGUUGUAAACCGCUUUCUCCUGUGACGAAGCGUGAUUGACGGUAAUUGGUAAAGAAGCACCGGCUAACUACGUG